GGUUAAGUGACUAAGCGUACACGGUGGAUGCCUGGGCAGUCAGAGGCGAUGAAGGACGUACUAACUUGCGAUAAGCGCAGAUAAGGCAGUAAGAGCCGUUUGAGUCUGCGAUUUCCGAAUGGGGAAACCCAACUGCAUAAGCAGUUACUGUUAACUGAAUACAUAGGUUAACAGAGCAAACCGGGGGAACUGAAACAUCUAAGUACCCCGAGGAGAAGAAAUCAACCGAGAUUCCGGUAGUAGCGGCGAGCGAACCUGGAUUAGCCCUUAAGCACUCGGUGAAGUAGGUGAACAAGCUGGAAAGCUUGGCGAUACAGGGUGAUAGCCCCGUAACCGACGCUUCAUCGAGCGUGAAAUCGAGUAGGGCGGGACACGUGAUAUCCUGUCUGAAUAUGGGGGGACCAUCCUCCAAGGCUAAAUACUCCUGACUGACCGAUAGUGAACCAGUACCGUGAGGGAAAGGCGAAAAGAACCCCUGUGAGGGGAGUGAAAUAGAACCUGAAACCGUGUACGUACAAGCAGUAGGAGCACCUUCGUGGUGUGACUGCGUACCUUUUGUAUAAUGGGUCAGCGACUUAUAUUCAGUGGCAAGGUUAACCGUAUAGGGGAGCCGUAGCGAAAGCGAGUCUUAACUGGGCGCUCAGUCUCUGGAUAUAGACCCGAAACCGGGUGAUCUAGCCAUGGGCAGGUUGAAGGUUGAGUAACAUCAACUGGAGGACCGAACCGACUAAUGUUGAAAAAUUAGCGGAUGACUUGUGGCUAGGGGUGAAAGGCCAAUCAAACUCGGAGAUAGCUGGUUCUCCCCGAAAGCUAUUUAGGUAGCGCCUCGGACGAAUACUACUGGGGGUAGAGCACUGUUAAGGCUAGGGGGUCAUCCCGACUUACCAACCCUUUGCAAACUCCGAAUACCAGUAAGUACUAUCCGGGAGACACACGGCGGGUGCUAACGUCCGUCGUGGAGAGGGAAACAACCCAGACCGCCAGCUAAGGUCCCAAAGUAUUGCUAAGUGGGAAACGAUGUGGGAAGGCUCAGACAGCUAGGAUGUUGGCUUAGAAGCAGCCAUCAUUUAAAGAAAGCGUAAUAGCUCACUAGUCGAGUCGGCCUGCGCGGAAGAUGUAACGGGGCUAAGCAAUACACCGAAGCUGCGGCAAUAUNNNNNNNNNNNNNNNNNNNNNNNNNNNNNNNNNNNNNNNNNNNNNNNNNNNNNNNNNNNNNNNNNNNNNNNNNNNNNNNNNNNNNNNNNNNNNNNAUGUCUUUUAGAUAUUGGGUAGGGGAGCGUUCUGUAAGCCGUUGAAGGUGAAUCGUAAGGUUUGCUGGAGGUAUCAGAAGUGCGAAUGCUGACAUGAGUAACGACAAAGGGGGUGAAAAACCUCCUCGCCGGAAGACCAAGGGUUCCUGUCCAACGUUAAUCGGGGCAGGGUGAGUCGACCCCUAAGGUGAGGCCGAAAGGCGUAAUCGAUGGGAAACGGGUUAAUAUUCCCGUACUUCUGACUAUUGCGAUGGGGGGACGGAGAAGGCUAGGUGGGCCAGGCGACGGUUGUCCUGGUUCAAGUGCGUAGGCUUGAGAGUUAGGUAAAUCCGGCUCUCUCUAAGGCUGAGACACGACGUCGAGCUGCUACGGCAGUGAAGUCAUUGAUGCCAUGCUUCCAGGAAAAGCCUCUAAGCUUCAGAUAGUCAGGAAUCGUACCCCAAACCGACACAGGUGGUCGGGUAGAGAAUACCAAGGCGCUUGAGAGAACUCGGGUGAAGGAACUAGGCAAAAUGGUACCGUAACUUCGGGAGAAGGUACGCUCUUGAUGGUGAAGUCCCUCGCGGAUGGAGCUGACGAGAGUCGCAGAUACCAGGUGGCUGCAACUGUUUAUUAAAAACACAGCACUGUGCAAAAUCGCAAGAUGACGUAUACGGUGUGACGCCUGCCCGGUGCCGGAAGGUUAAUUGAUGGGGUUAGCGCAAGCGAAGCUCUUGAUCGAAGCCCCGGUAAACGGCGGCCGUAACUAUAACGGUCCUAAGGUAGCGAAAUUCCUUGUCGGGUAAGUUCCGACCUGCACGAAUGGCGUAAUGAUGGCCACGCUGUCUCCACCCGAGACUCAGUGAAAUUGAAAUCGCUGUGAAGAUGCAGUGUACCCGCGGCUAGACGGAAAGACCCCGUGAACCUUUACUACAGCUUGGCACUGAACAUUGAACCUACAUGUGUAGGAUAGGUGGGAGGCUAUGAAGACGUGACGCCAGUUGCGUUGGAGCCGUCCUUGAAAUACCACCCUUGUAUGUUUGAUGUUCUAACUUAGACCCGUUAUCCGGGUUGAGGACAGUGCCUGGUGGGUAGUUUGACUGGGGCGGUCUCCUCCCAAAGAGUAACGGAGGAGCACGAAGGUGGGCUAAUCACGGUUGGACAUCGUGAGGUUAGUGCAAUGGCAUAAGCCCGCUUAACUGCGAGAAUGACGGUUCGAGCAGGUGCGAAAGCAGGUCAUAGUGAUCCGGUGGUUCUGUAUGGAAGGGCCAUCGCUCAACGGAUAAAAGGUACUCCGGGGAUAACAGGCUGAUACCGCCCAAGAGUUCAUAUCGACGGCGGUGUUUGGCACCUCGAUGUCGGCUCAUCACAUCCUGGGGCUGAAGUCGGUCCCAAGGGUAUGGCUGUUCGCCAUUUAAAGUGGUACGCGAGCUGGGUUUAGAACGUCGUGAGACAGUUCGGUCCCUAUCUGCCGUGGGCGUUGGAAGAUUGAAGGGGGCUGCUCCUAGUACGAGAGGACCGGAGUGGACGAACCUCUGGUGUUCGGGUUGUGUCGCCAGACGCAUUGCCCGGUAGCUAAGUUCGGAAUUGAUAAGCGCUGAAAGCAUCUAAGCGCGAAGCGAGCCCUGAGAUGAGUCUUCCCUGAUACUUUAAGUAUCCUAAAGGGUUGUUCGAGACUAGAACGUUGAUAGGCAGGGUGUGUAAGCGUUGUGAGGCGUUGAGCUAACCUGUACUAAUUGCCCGUGAGGCUUAACCAU
RNAcentral lists this ribosomal RNA (2986 nucleotides) under Vibrio cholerae. Its description in RNAcentral is "23S ribosomal RNA". It matches the Rfam family "Bacterial large subunit ribosomal RNA". The record is from RNAcentral. Lineage: Bacteria; Pseudomonadati; Pseudomonadota; Gammaproteobacteria; Vibrionales; Vibrionaceae.